UAGCUGCAAUUAAUCAAGCUCUUGGCCCGGUAAUGCAUACUCACCCAUACUACAUAUUAUGAUUCGAUUGAUCGCAUUGAUCGAUCGGCGACUUCCUCCCUCAUGGAUGGAUGGAGAUGGAGUACUAGCUACUCUAGUCAUCCUCCUGUUUGUUUGUUGUUUUUUCUUCCUUUUGGAUUUUGGGUUUUUGGUGAGAUGAAUUAGUUAGAUGAUUUGUUGGCAGGAUGAUUACUGCCUUCCAAGCGUAACUAUUGGCAGGAUGGAUAUGUAUCCUGCGGCUGGACUAUGAUGAUGAUGAUGAUGAUGAUCAUAUUGAUCAAUCAAUUGUAAAUGAAAUUAUUGGGGAAAGAGCGGGGUACGCGUGUGCGCUGCCACCAAUUUUUCGAAAUGAAAUUUUCUGACUUCCAACUUGUACGCACGGUGCUAACACUGCAUGGAUUUAAUCACAAUUUAAUAUCUGCUGUCC
Molecule: long non-coding RNA, 466 nt
Filed under: Triticum aestivum (bread wheat)
Lineage: Eukaryota; Viridiplantae; Streptophyta; Magnoliopsida; Poales; Poaceae
Description: long non-coding RNA (TAES_LNC013907)
Source: RNAcentral